CUUCUGCUCCCCAUGAGCUGUAUCUGCUUGGCUGAGCUGAUUUCCUGUCUGUGCCAGCACUGCCUGGCUCUUCUCUAGGAGUGCUGAGGAAGAUCUGUGCUAGUAGAAUCAAAUUGGUGUGUUUAUUUCUCUGUCUCCCUCUGUUAAAAGCAAGAAAUUAAAUGAGCCUGAUCAUACCUGAGAUUCUGGAUGCCUAAAAUUUCACUGAAAAUGUUGAAAGAAAGGGGACUGUUAAACAACUUCACUUCUCAACAUUUGUAUUGCCUGAGAUAUGAUGACAGCUGUGAAGUUGAUCCAUGGGUAAAGGUCUAUCCCAUUCUUCAUGAGCCCACUGAGGUUGGCUGGACAUGUGCUCUCAGUGCUUGUUUUCCCAGUACUCCUUUUGAAGGUGAGCACCAACAUCAGUGACAAGAACUGUCAGUUCCACUCCUCAAGCUUCUUGGCCUUUAUUGUGUCUCAGACAGUAGAAACUAUGCUGGUGUAUGGGACAUCUGGGGCUUACGUCAUAUUGUAUCAACACUGACAACUUAUUAUUUGUUUCCAACCUUACAGAGUUGUUGGAGUCUUUUUUAAGGGUAUUUCCCUGCUGCAUGAGUUGAUCUCUAGUUUACUCAUAUUUUGUGGGUAGGGGAAAGAUGUCAGUAUUUCCAUUAGUUAAAGUUGUGUUCAGCAUUAAGAGUUUGUAAUUACCACAGAAAAGUAAGCAGUAUUGUUGAGGAAAAGGAAAAAUCACAUCUCUCAGAUCCUCUGUUUUUUAUCUAGUUGUCAAAAGCCCCAACAUAAAAGCUGAGGUUUUAUUUUUAUACAUACACAAAAAUGGUAAAUACCCCAGAAAGCUAAUAAGCCAUGAAGUUUAGGAUUCAUUCAGUGCUGUGAUAGAAUAACCAAAACAACAACUAGUCAGAGCUCUCUUGAGAGCGGGGAGGAGCUUGAAAGUUCAUUGUUUGAUAGUCUCAGAAGAUCUCAAAUCAUUUUCUAAAUUAUCACAGUAUUAGAUCAUUAUCCAUGUCAUACUCUAAAAUGUGGGGCAUGACUUCUACCUCCAUCCUAGAGAAGACAAUUCUAUCUCUUUGUAAAUCUCUUCAGAUUCAGAAAUAAGUUAAAAAAAAAUAGAAAAAAAAGUAAAAAAAUAUGGGAGCCGACUGACUAGAAGGGCCACAUUCUUGGAAACAAGUUGGCUGGGCUGGUUAGCAGGGCUUUAAACUAGAUAUGAUGGGGGGAGGGGGUGUACUGUGUGACAGAGAAGCGUGUGGGAAUGCUGUCACCCUGGGAGGUGGUAAGGGAAAACCCCAGACUUGUCCUGGAGGUAUUAGGGAGGGCUCCACUGGUAAGGCAACGAGGCCAAUAGCCAAGCUGAAGUGUCUCUAUACCAAUGCACACAGCAUUGGAAAUAAUCAGGAGGAGCUAGAGACCGUGGCACAAUUGGGAAAGUAUGACCUAAUUGCUAUCACGGAAACAUAGUGGGAUGAAUCCCGUGAUUGGAAUACCCUGAUUGAGGACUACAGGCUUUUCAGAAGGGAUAGACAGGGUAGGAGGGGUGGCGGAGUUGCCCUCUAUAUUAGGAAUUGGAUAGAUUGUGAAGAGCUGUGUCUGAGGAACAGCCACAAUCAGGUCGAGAGUUUGUGGGUAAAAAUCAAGGAUCGGUCCAGCAAAGGGCAUCUAGUGGCUGGGGUCUGCUACAGGACAUCUGAUCAGGAGGAGGCUGUGGACGCGGCCUGCUUGCUUCAGCUGCAGGAGGUGUUGCGCUUGAGGGCUCUUGUCCUGAUGAGGGAUUUCAACCACCCGGAUAUCUUCUGGGAUAGUGGCAUGGCGGGUGGCAGACAAUCCAGGAGAUUCCUGGAGUCUGUCAAGGACAACUUCCUGAUCCAGGUAAUAGAUGGACCGACCCGAGGUGAAGCCUUACUGGAACUGGUGCACACUAAUGCAGAGGAGAGCAUUAGAGACGUUAAGAUUGGAGGCAGCAUGGGCUGUAGUGACCAUGCCUUGAUGGACUUUGUGAUCUUGAAGAAUGCAGGCCUGGCUAAAAGCAGAGCUUGGACUCUGUGCUUUAGGAGAGCAAACUUCCUGCUGCUCAAGGAACUGCUGAGUGGGAUCCCCUGGGAAACUGUCCUUAAGGGCAUGGGUACAGAACAGAGCUGGUAGCUCUUUAAGGACACCCUUCUGAGAGUGCAACGGCUCUCUAUCCCCCAGCAGAAGUCAAGUAGGGGAGGCAGGCAACCAUCGUGGCUGUGCAAGGACCUGCAGCUUAAACUGAGAGAAAAGGGGGGAAUUUAUAGAAGGUGGAAGCAGGUUGUGUAUCCUGGGAGGAAUACAGCGCUGUUGCCCAUGUGUGCAGAGAUAGGAUUAGGAAAGCCAAGGCGCAGAUGGAGAUGAACUUGGUGAGGGAUGUGAAAGAUAACAAGAAGAGGUUCUACAGGUUCUACAGGCAGGAGGAGACGGACCAAGUGUUCCCCCUCUGAUGAAAGGCAAUGGGGAGCUGGCUUCCUCAGACAUAGAAAAAGCUGAGGUAUUUAAUGAGUGCAUUGCCUCAGUCUUCACGGGUGGUCAGGCUUCCCGUGUCUGCCAGGACCACAAGCCUGUAGGUGAGGGUGUGGGGAGUGGUUUCUGUCCCACUGUAAUGGUGGAACAAGUCCGAGUCCUCCUCAUGACAUUGAAUGUGUGUAAGUCCAUGGGGCUGGAUGAUAUCCAUCCUAGGGUUCUGAAAGAGAUGGCUGAUGUUGUUGCUGAGCCACUCUCCAUCAUAUUUGAAAAAUCAUGGCUGUCUGGUGAAGUUCCCACUGACUGGAAAAAGGGAAACAUUACUCCCAGUUUUAAGAAAGGGAGAAAGGAGGAUCUGGGGAACUACAGGCCAGUGAGCCUCACCUCUGUGCCUGGGAAGAUCAUGGAGCAGAUCCUCCUAGAAGCUGUUAAGGCACAUAUUGGAUGAAGAGGUGAUCUGAGACAGGCAGCAUGGCUUCACCAAGGGCAGAUUGUGCCUGACCAAUCUGGUGGCCUUCUACAAUGGAGUGAUGGCUUCGGUGGCUGGGAGAAGGGCAGUGGAUGUCAUCUACCUGGACUUCUGCAAGGCCUUUGACAUGGUCCCUCACCACAUCCUUCCAGGUUUAGGUUGGAUAUUAGGAAGUUUUUCACACAGAAUGUUUCACACAGUGUGUGGUGACACACUGGAACAGGUUGCCCAAGGAGGCUGUGGAUUCCCCAUCCCUGGAGGUAUUCAAGGCCAGGCCGGAUGUGGCGCUGGGCAGCCUGGUCUAGUGGUUGGCGACCCUGCACAUAGCGGGGGGGUUGAAACUAGAUGAUCAUUGUGGUCCUUUUCAACUGUCAUGGUUUUGUAACUUCGCUAUUGGUAUUCCACAUCAUAACAUCAUGGACAAAAGAGAAGAACUACGUAUCCCAGAGGACCUCACGGUCAGAGAAGGAAGACACAUCACGGAAGAUACGUCAUCUGGUUGCGCGCGGUGCUUCUUCACUUUCGCUUGCUGCCGGGAGAGGAGUGGGUGUGCUUUCCAAGCCGGGCGCCUUCAUCAAGUAAGGCUUUCGGUUUCGGAAACUCUCUCACUCUCUCUCUCUCUCCCUCUCUAUCGCUCUUUCGCUCUCUCUCCCUCAUUCCAUUUGGUUUAUUAUAC
RNAcentral lists this long non-coding RNA (3623 nucleotides) under Gallus gallus (chicken). RNAcentral's name for it is "lncRNA (ENSGALG00010010482.1)". The record is from RNAcentral. Lineage: Eukaryota; Metazoa; Chordata; Aves; Galliformes; Phasianidae.